UCAUCUCAGUUAACAAAAUUAGGUACAGAGAAAAUAUGGUUCCAGCCGCCUAUCUGUCUUUUUUUUUCAAUUUUGAUUUACAUUUUGUGUAAAACAAACUUUUCAAUAUUGUGAAACAAAUUUAGGUUUUCUUUUUUUUGUAGCAGGAAUAACGCCUAAGGUUUUGUGCAGCCUAAAGCCAAGGUCUGAGCCAUGCAUGGGCAGAUCACGAACAUGGUACUUUGAUUUAGGGAGCAACAGCUGUCACAGGUUCCCAAGCGGUCACUGCGCAGCAAAUGACAAUGGUUUCACGACCAGGCAAAAGUGCCUGGCGAGAUGUAGUUAUGAAAAAUAGUGGACGAGCAGCCUACAGGGUCAAGAAAGGCCACGGUAUCUGUAACUAUAUACAAGAUCCCUAAUGACUUUCUGACUGCCAUAAAAACGUGUUCAUUGACUGU
This is a non-coding RNA of Dermacentor andersoni, 437 nucleotides long. The record is from RefSeq and is a predicted model, not a curated record. Lineage: Eukaryota; Metazoa; Arthropoda; Arachnida; Ixodida; Ixodidae.